GGCUUUAAUAUUGAUUCACUGAUAGGGUCUUUGCAUCGGAACUAAACACAUUUAUUUCUUGGCAUGACACGGGUUAUGUUCUUCUCAUAUAUUCUAUGAUAGUAUGAUACUAAACCCCUAACGGGAGGGAUUGUGCCUGAUAUUCAUAUGAUGAAGACAUCAUCUUUCAAUCAGUUUAAUUGAGGUCUGGAGCUGGCAUGUCAGUUAACUGCUAGUAGUCUGUUGUUAUUUAUGUAUUAUUGUCAUUUUAUUUAUUUUCUUUUGUUACAUCUUUUGACAUCGGACUCGGACUUCUCUUGAACUGAAUUUUAAUGUGCGUAUUGUUAUGCUUUUACUUUUCU
This 341-nucleotide long non-coding RNA is filed under the name Mytilus galloprovincialis (Mediterranean mussel). Lineage: Eukaryota; Metazoa; Mollusca; Bivalvia; Mytilida; Mytilidae. The record is from RNAcentral.